GAUGUAACUAAGUCAUCAGGUAUGUGCCUGAUCUCGUCCAGAUCUCAGAAGCUAAGCAGGCGUUGAGCCUGGAUAGUGCUUUGAUGGGGUGACCACCAUGCACAAAACAGGCUGUCAUAAGCC
Molecule: ribosomal RNA, 123 nt
Filed under: Petromyzon marinus (sea lamprey)
Lineage: Eukaryota; Metazoa; Chordata; Hyperoartia; Petromyzontiformes; Petromyzontidae
Source: RNAcentral